RNAcentral lists this ribosomal RNA (506 nucleotides) under uncultured bacterium. RNAcentral describes it as "bacterial SSU rRNA". It matches the Rfam family "Bacterial small subunit ribosomal RNA", at positions 8 to 507 of the family's 1533-position model. The record is from RNAcentral.
AGAGUUUGAUCAUGGCUCAGAUUGAACGCUGGCGGCAUGCUUUACACAUGCAAGUCGAACGGCAGCACGGGGGCAACCCUGGUGGCGAGUGGCGAACGGGUGAGUAAUAUAUCGGAACGUACCCGGAAAUGGGGGAUAACGUAGCGAAAGUUACGCUAAUACCGCAUAUGCCCUAAGGGGGAAAGCGGGGGAUUCGCAAGAACCUCGCGUUUUCGGAGCGGCCGAUAUCGGAUUAGCUAGUAGGUGAGGUAAAGGCUCACCUAGGCGACGAUCCGUAGCUGGUCUGAGAGGACGACCAGCCACACUGGAACUGAGACACGGUCCAGACUCCUACGGGAGGCAGCAGUGGGGAAUUUUGGACAAUGGGCGCAAGCCUGAUCCAGCCAUGCCGCGUGAGUGAAGAAGGCCUUCGGGUUGUAAAGCUCUUUCAGCCGGAAAGAAAACGCACGGGUUAAUAACCUGUGUGGAUGACGGUACCGGAAGAAGAAGCACCGGCUAACUACGUG